UAAACACAAAAUUCUCUCAAUGUAUUAUGAGUUCUAAUCUAAUUGGUGUAUUUUCUAAGGUUAUAAAAGAGCCUAUUUAUAGGCUAAAUUCAUAUGUCAAAUAAUAAUAAAAUUUUAGCCUCUAAAUAGGCUCUUUUACAACAUUAGAAAAUACACUCAUUAGAUUAGAACUCAUAACACAUUUAGAUAAUUUUGUGUUU
This 200-nucleotide microRNA precursor is filed under the name Gossypium raimondii (Peruvian cotton). RNAcentral describes it as "miR8683 stem-loop (gra-MIR8683)". The record is from miRBase by way of RNAcentral. Lineage: Eukaryota; Viridiplantae; Streptophyta; Magnoliopsida; Malvales; Malvaceae.